AGGCAGCGAACUUCAUAAUUUUUGUGUUUCCAAUGAGAGGAAUUAUAUAUUGUAGGGAGAUGUUUCUGGGAAACUUGGGAACUGGGGUUCAUUGAUUGUUACCUGCAAAGCAAGAUUUAGACUAGCAGAGUGUUGAAGAGUUUGCAAGCAUUGCAGACAGGCUGGUGUACCAGGGAGCUCUCACGUAACUUGGCAGCAUCAAAGCUCUCACUCUUGCUAAAGCAGAGCAGUAACACAGUGACUCACAGUGCUCAGUGUCCUGAACACAAUGUCACAAUAAAUAAAAGUGCAAGUAUAAGCACAGGUAUGCCUGUAUUUCCUGCAAUUGUCUGGUCAAUAUAUGGACAACUUGGCACAAAAAGUGGGAAUGUGCUAAAAAAGUUUGCGGAUGACAAAAAGCUGGGAGGUAUUGCUAAUACAGAGAAGGACCAGGAUAUCAUACAGGAAGAUCUGGAUGACCUUGUAAACUGGAGUAAUAGUAAUAGGAUGAAAUUUAAUAGUGAAAAGUGCAAGGUCAUGCAUUUAAGGAUUAAUAAGAAUUUUGGUUAUAAAUUGGAGACACAUCAGUUGGAAAUAACAGAGGAGGAGAAGGACCUCGGAGUAUUGGUUGAUCACAGGAUGACUAUGAGCCGCCAAUGUGAUAUGGCCAUUAAAAAAGCUAAUGCAGUCUUGGGAUGCAUCAGGCGAGGUAUUUCCAGUAAAGAUAAGGAGGUGUUAGUACCAUUAUACAAGGCACUGGUGAGACCUCAUCUGGAAUAUUGUGUGCAGUUCUGGUCUCCCACGUUUAAGAAGGAUGAAUUCAAACUGGAACAGGUACAGAGAAGGGCUACUAGGAUGAUCCGAGGAAUGGAAAACCUGUCUUAUGAAAGGAGACUCAAAGAGCUUGGAUUGUUUAGCCUAAUCAAAAGAAGGCUAUGGGGAGAUAUGAUUGCUCUUUAUAAAUAUAUCAGAGGGAUAAAUAUCAGGGAAGGAGAGGAAUUAUUUAAACGUAGUACCAAUGUGGACACAAGAACAAAUGGAUAUAAACUGGACAUUAGGAAGUUUAGACUUGAAA
RNAcentral lists this long non-coding RNA (1054 nucleotides) under Chrysemys picta bellii (western painted turtle). RNAcentral describes it as "lncRNA (ENSCPBG00000024326.1)". The record is from RNAcentral. Lineage: Eukaryota; Metazoa; Chordata; Testudines; Emydidae.